RNAcentral lists this ribosomal RNA (502 nucleotides) under uncultured bacterium. RNAcentral's name for it is "bacterial SSU rRNA". It matches the Rfam family "Bacterial small subunit ribosomal RNA", at positions 19 to 518 of the family's 1533-position model. The record is from RNAcentral.
CUGGCUCAGAUUGAACGCUGGCGGCGUGCUUAACACAUGCAAGUCGAUCGGUAACGCGGGGCAACCCUGGCGACGAGAGGCGGACGGGUGAGGAACGCUUGGGAAUCUGCCUAUCAGCGGGGGACAACCCGGGGAAACUCGGGCUAAUACCGCAUACGCUCCACGGAGGAAAGCCGGGGACCGCAAGGCCUGGCACUGAUAGAUGAGCCCAAGUCGGAUUAGCUAGUUGGCGGGUAACGGCCCACCAAGGCGACGAUCCGUAGCUGGUCUGAGAGGACGAUCAGCCACACUGGGACUGAGACACGGCCCAGACUCCUACGGGAGGCAGCAGUGGGGAAUAUUGGACAAUGGGGGAAACCCUGAUCCAGCGACGCCGCGUGGGUGAAGAAGGCCUGCGGGUUGUAAAGCCCUUUCGGUAGGGACGAAAGCUCUCGACCUAACACGUCGGGAGGUUGACUUAACCUACAAAAGAAGCACCGGCUAACUCUGUGCCAGCCGCUGC